Molecule: unclassified non-coding RNA, 348 nt
Filed under: soil metagenome
Description: partial contains 5.8S ribosomal RNA, internal transcribed spacer 2, and large subunit ribosomal RNA
Rfam family: 5.8S ribosomal RNA (bases 1-120)
Source: RNAcentral
GAUGAAGAACGUAGCGAAAUGCGAUAAGUAAUGUGAAUUGCAGAAUUCAGUGAAUCAUCGAAUCUUUGAACGCACAUUGCGCCCGCCAGUAUUCUGGCGGGCAUGCCUGUCUGAGCGUCAUUUCAACCCUCAUGCCCCUAGGGCGUGGUGUUGGGGAUCGGCCAAAGCCCGCGAGGGACGGCCGGCCCCUAAAUCUAGUGGCGGACCCGUCGUGGCCUCCUCUGCGAAGUAGUGAUAUUCCGCAUCGGAGAGCGAUGAGCCCCUGCCGUUAAACCCCCAACUUUCCAAGGUUGACCUCAGAGCAGGUAGGAAUACCCGCUGAACUUAAGCAUAUCAAUAAGCGGAGGA